This 376-nucleotide ribosomal RNA is filed under the name uncultured organism. RNAcentral describes it as "partial 16S ribosomal RNA". It matches the Rfam family "Bacterial small subunit ribosomal RNA", at positions 527 to 897 of the family's 1533-position model. The record is from RNAcentral.
GAGGGGUGCUAGCGUUAUUCGGAAUCAUUGGGCGUAAAGGGUGUGUAGACGGCGCAUUAAGUCAACUGUUAAAUUCUCCGGCCUAACUGGAGGUCAGCGGUAGAAACUGGUGUGCUAGAGGGUGAGAGAGAGAAGUGGAAUUCUCGGAGUAGCGGUAAAAUGCGUAGAUCUCGAGAGGAACACCGAUGGCGAAGGCAGCUUCUUGGCUCAUUCCUGACGUUGAGACACGAAAGCGUGGGGGGAGCAAACAGGAUUAGAUACCCUGGUAGUCCACACUGUAAACCGAUGAUCACUAGACGUCAGCUCUGUUUUGCAGGGUUGGUGUCGUAGCUAACGCGUUAAGUGAUCCGCCUGGGGACUACGAUCGCAAGAUUAA